AUUGAACGCUGGCGGCAUGCUUUACACAUGCAAGUCGAACGGCAGCGGGGUAGUGCUUGCACUACUGCCGGCGAGUGGCGAACGGGUGAGUAAUAUAUCGGAACGUACCGAGUAAUGGGGGAUAACCAAUCGAAAGAUUGGCUAAUACCGCAUACGUCCUGAGGGAGAAAGCGGGGGAUCGCAAGACCUCGCGUUAUUCGAGCGGCCGAUAACUGAUUAGCUAGUUGGUGGGGUAAAGGCCUACCAAGGCGACGAUCAGUAGCGGGUCUGAGAGGGCGAAGCGCCACACUGGGAGUGAGACACGGCCCAGAGUCCUAGGGGAGGCAGUGGUGGGGAAUUUUGGAAGAUGGGGGGAACCCUGAUCCAGCCAUGCCGCGUGUAUGAAGAAGGGCUUCGGGUUGUAAAGUACUUUUGUUAGGGGAGAAAAGGGAAGUGCUAAUACCAGUUUUUGCUGACGGUACCUAAAGAAUAAGCACCGGCUAACUACGUG
This 490-nucleotide ribosomal RNA is filed under the name uncultured bacterium. RNAcentral's name for it is "partial 16S ribosomal RNA". It matches the Rfam family "Bacterial small subunit ribosomal RNA", at positions 30 to 507 of the family's 1533-position model. The record is from RNAcentral.